GAUGAACGCUGGCGGCGCGCCUAACACAUGCAAGUCGAACGAUUAAAGCACCUUCGGGUGUGUAUAAAGUGGCGAACGGCUGAGUAACACGUGGGCAACCUGCCCCUUUCAUUGGGAUAGCCACGGGAAACCGUGGAUAAUACCGAAUACUUCGAGACUUCCGCAUGGAAGACUCGAGAAAGCUCCGGCGGAGAGGGAUGGGCCCGCGGCCUGUUAGCUUGUUGGUGGGGUAACGGCCUACCAAGGCGAUGAUGGGUAGCUGGGUUGAGAGACCGACCAGCCAGAUUGGGACUGAGACACGGCCCAGACUCCUACGGGAGGCAGCAGUGGGGAAUCUUGCACAAUGGGCGAAAGCCUGAUGCAGCGACGCCGCGUGCGGGAUGAAGGCCUUCGGGUUGUAAACCGCUUUCAGCAGGGACGAGGCGAAAGUGACGGUACCUGCAGAAGAAGCCCCGGCUAACUACGUG
This 467-nucleotide ribosomal RNA is filed under the name uncultured bacterium. Its description in RNAcentral is "partial 16S ribosomal RNA". It matches the Rfam family "Bacterial small subunit ribosomal RNA", at positions 28 to 507 of the family's 1533-position model. The record is from RNAcentral.